GCGUAUAUUAAGUUGUUGCAGUUAAAAAGCUCGUAGUUGAAUUUCGGGGUUAGUAAGUUGGUCAUGCCAUUGGUAUGCACUGGCUUUACUGAUUCCUCCUUCUUGACGAACCGUGAUGUCAUUAAUUUGGUGUUGCGGGAAAUCAGGACUGUUACUUUGAAAAAAUUAGAGUGUUUAAAGCAGGCUAACGCUUGAAUACAUUAGCAUGGAAUAAUGAAAUAGGACGUUAAUCCUAUUUUGUUGGUUUCUAGGAUCGACGUAAUGAUUAAUAGGGAUAGUUGGGGGCAUUAGUAUUCAAUUGUCAGAGGUGAAAUUCUUGGAUUUAUUGAAGACUAACUACUGCGAAAGCAUUUGCCAAGGAUGUUUUCAUUAAUCAAGAACGAAAGUUAGGGGAUCGAAGACGAUCAGAUACCGUCGUAGUCUUAACCAUAAA
This 433-nucleotide ribosomal RNA is filed under the name uncultured Glomus. RNAcentral describes it as "SSU rRNA". It matches the Rfam family "Eukaryotic small subunit ribosomal RNA", at positions 597 to 1036 of the family's 1831-position model. The record is from RNAcentral. Lineage: Eukaryota; Fungi; Glomeromycota; Glomeromycetes; Glomerales; Glomeraceae.